GAAAUGCAAUAAGUAAUGUGAAUUGCAGAAUUCAGUGAAUCAUCGAAUCUUUGAACGCAUAUUGCGCCCCUUGGUAUUCCGAGGGGCAUGCCUGUUCGAGCGUCAUUGCAACCCUCAAGCUCUGCUUGGUAUUGGGCCUUCGCCGGGGCGGUUGCUCCCCCGGCGGGCCUAAAGCUAUCGGCGGCGUCUGUCCUGCUUCAAGCGUAGUAAAGUAUCGUCUUUCGCUUUGGAAGUCGGGGCUGCACCUGCCGGAUAACCGGGCUUUACACGCCCAACCCUCUCAAGGUUGACCUCGGAUCAGGUAGGGAUACCCGCUGAACUUAAGC
This 326-nucleotide unclassified non-coding RNA is filed under the name plant metagenome. RNAcentral's name for it is "partial contains 5.8S ribosomal RNA, internal transcribed spacer 2, and large subunit ribosomal RNA". The stretch from base 1 to 105 matches the Rfam family "5.8S ribosomal RNA", at positions 50 to 154 of the family's 154-position model. The record is from RNAcentral.